This 321-nucleotide ribosomal RNA is filed under the name uncultured Spirochaetota bacterium. RNAcentral describes it as "bacterial SSU rRNA". It matches the Rfam family "Bacterial small subunit ribosomal RNA", at positions 28 to 352 of the family's 1533-position model. The record is from RNAcentral. Lineage: Bacteria; Pseudomonadati; Spirochaetota.
GACGAACGCUGGCGGCGUGGAUUAGGCAUGCAAGUCGAACGGUAGUGUUCCUUCGGGGGACAUGAGAGUGGCGAACGGGUGAGUAACGCGUAGGUGAUCUACCUUCAAGUGGGGGACAACCCAGGGGAAACUUGGGCUAAUACCGCAUGUGUCCGUAAGGAUAAAGCCGGCCUCUGAAUAUGCUGGUGCUUGGAGCUGAGCCUGCGUCUGAUUAGCUAGUUGGUGGGUAACGCCUACCGAGGCGAUGAUAAGUAGGCGGCUUUAACGAGUGGUCGCCCACACUGGGAUUGAGAUACGGCCCAGACUCCUACGGGAGGCAGG